AUACGGAGGGUGCAAGCGUUACUCGGAAUCACUGGGCGUAAAGCGCGCGCAGGCGGCUUGAUAAGUUGGAUGUGAAAGCCUACGGCUCAACCGUAGAACUGCAUCCAAAACUGUCAGUCUAGAGUCUGGGAGGGGAAGAUGGAAUUAGUUGUGUAGGGGUAAAAUCCGUAGAGAUAACUAGGAAUACCAAAAGCGAAGGCGAUCUUCUGGAACAGUACUGACGCUGAGGCGCGAAAGCGUGGGGAGCAAACAGGAUUAGAUACCCUAGUAGUCC
RNAcentral lists this ribosomal RNA (274 nucleotides) under uncultured bacterium. Its description in RNAcentral is "partial 16S ribosomal RNA". It matches the Rfam family "Bacterial small subunit ribosomal RNA", at positions 523 to 796 of the family's 1533-position model. The record is from RNAcentral.